Molecule: ribosomal RNA, 274 nt
Filed under: uncultured bacterium
Lineage: Bacteria
Description: partial 16S ribosomal RNA
Rfam family: Bacterial small subunit ribosomal RNA
Source: RNAcentral
ACACGGAGGGGGCGAGCGUUGUUUGGAAUUACUGGGCGUAAAGCGCGCGCAGGCGGCGGUGCAAGUCGGUCGUGAAAGCCCUCGGCUCAACCGAGGAACUGCGUCCGAUACUGCAUCGCUUGAGUCCGGUAGGGGGUAGCGGAAUUCCCGGUGUAGCGGUGGAAUGCGUAGAUAUCGGGAGGAACACCGAUGGCGAAGGCGGCUACCUGGGCCGGUACUGACGCUGAGGCGCGAAAGCCAGGGGAGCAAACAGGAUUAGAAACCCUUGUAGUCC